UUUAUCUGUAGCAACAUUCUGAAGUAGCUCGGUGAUGUUUUUGUAGAGGGGUCGACUCCAAAUCAGUAGAAUCUCGGAGAAAUCAAGCAAUAAAGAAAGCAAAAGCAGCCAAUCGUCCUCCAAAAUAACCCACCGAACUCAAAAAUCCAGAAUUAAAGAUGAUUUAACGAUGAAACAGCAGAUCAAUCAACCCAAGUAAAGCUAGAGUUUCUUUGUGAGAUGACAAUGCAAAUAGAGGGAGGGAACAUUGAUCAGGAUGGAUAGAGGGAGCCAGCCAUGAGUAAAAUUCACGGCCAUUUUCACUCCAGCACAAUUUUUUUUUUUUAUGAGAGAGUGGCUGUUGUGAAGAAAGAAAAAUAGGGGAGAAAAUGAGAGCGAGUCUAAAAGAGAUCAGCUUUGCCACUGUGGUUUUGAUCCCUCGCCGUGCUCGUUGUUAUCCGAUUCCCAAUUCCACGAUCCCUCGAGCUCAAGAUGUGCCAAAUAUUUAUAAAUGUAGAGGAUUCAAAGACUUACAGCUAAAGAGAGAGAUGCAUAUGCCAUUCCAUACGUAUCGCAAACAUCUGGGCUUCCUAAUGGGCUGCCUUUCUCUUUACACAUUGCAGCCUUUACCAGCCGAACAAGAUGCCAAAAUUACGCCCCUUAAAUGAGGAGGAGAGCUCGUGACCUGAAUGACAAUCCACCCAAGUGCCGAACCAAUAACAAAGUUGAGUACGAGACUGACUGGCAUAAACCACCUGCAUUAUUUGUGAAAAAGAAGGAUGUUCACACGACUAGUUGCUGAAAUUGAUCCCACCGCAGUUAGAAGAAGAACAUUCAGCACUGGCAUUGAUGCAGUGAGAAAGAGCCCUAAAAGACCCAUGAUGAAGAUGCUUCGGCCAUGUCGACGAGGAGAUCACGCCUCACGAGGAGCCGUUCGGCUACUCAGUCACCUGAGAGGGAGCGUCUAUCUUUUACCGGUAAGCC
Molecule: long non-coding RNA, 963 nt
Organism: Asparagus officinalis (garden asparagus)
Lineage: Eukaryota; Viridiplantae; Streptophyta; Magnoliopsida; Asparagales; Asparagaceae
Exons: 5
Source: RefSeq, a predicted model, not a curated record